Molecule: ribosomal RNA, 497 nt
Filed under: uncultured bacterium
Lineage: Bacteria
Description: partial 16S ribosomal RNA
Rfam family: Bacterial small subunit ribosomal RNA
Source: RNAcentral
GAUGAACGCUGGCGGCGUGCCUAACACAUGCAAGUCGAACGGACGGACGAUAAGCUUGCUUCUUUGUUGUUAGCGGCGGACGGGUGAGUAACGCGUGGAUCACCUACUUAUCAUUCUGGGAUAAUUUCGGGAAACCGUAUAUAAUACCAGAUAAUCUUUUGAACCGCAUGGUGCAAAAGUGAAUGACGGUCUUUCUGUCACUUAUAGCUGGUUCCGCGCUGCAUUAGCUGGUUGGUAAGGUAACGGCUUACCAAGGCUACGAUGCAUGGCCGACGUGAGAGGGGGAUCGGCCACACUGGAACUGAGACACGGUCAAGACUCCUACGGGAGGCAGCAGUAGGGAAUCUUCGGCAAUGGGCGAAAGCCUGACGCAGCAACGCCGCGUGAGUGAUGAAGGCCUUCGGAUCGUAAAACCCUGUUAUUAGGGAAGAACAUAUGUGGAAUUAACCGUGGACAUCUUGACGGUACCUAAUCAAAAAGCACCGGCUAACUACGUG